UAUGAUUCUAGGAUAUAAUCGUGACCUGUCUCUGAGCUGCUCUACAGUGCAAAAACGGACUGAGCAUCUGAAACAUCGAUCUGUCUGAAAUGGUGACAAACACAUAGGAGUAUGCAGAUGCUUGUUCCAAAAGAAAUAAAGUACACAACAAGAAAAGAGGCUAUGAGUACCUGCAACAAUACCUGUGCCUGAUUACCAGUGUAAGAAACAGGAGAAUGAUGUUUAUUUAAGUCACCAUGAAAAGACUGAAUUACUUCCAAAUAUUACUGUAAUAGUUCAAUAAAAU
Non-coding RNA from Coturnix japonica (Japanese quail), 286 nucleotides. The record is from RefSeq and is a predicted model, not a curated record. NCBI's taxonomy places the organism in Eukaryota, Metazoa, Chordata, Aves, Galliformes, Phasianidae.